RNAcentral lists this ribosomal RNA (497 nucleotides) under uncultured bacterium. Its description in RNAcentral is "partial 16S ribosomal RNA". It matches the Rfam family "Bacterial small subunit ribosomal RNA", at positions 28 to 507 of the family's 1533-position model. The record is from RNAcentral.
GAUGAACGCUGGCGGCGUGCCUAAUACAUGCAAGUCGAGCGAACGGACGAGAAGCUUGCUUCUCUGAUGUUAGCGGCGGACGGGUGAGUAACACGUGGAUAACCUACCUAUAAGACUGGGAUAACUUCGGGAAACCGGAGCUAAUACCGGAUAAUAUUUUGAACCGCAUGGUUCAAAAGUGAAAGACGGUCUUGCUGUCACUUAUAGAUGGAUCCGCGCUGCAUUAGCUAGUUGGUAAGGUAACGGCUUACCAAGGCAACGAUGCAUAGCCGACCUGAGAGGGUGAUCGGCCACACUGGAACUGAGACACGGUCCAGACUCCUACGGGAGGCAGCAGUAGGGAACCUUCCGCAAUGGGCGAAAGCCUGACGGAGCAACGCCGCGUGAGUGAUGAAGGCCUUCGGAUCGUAAAACUCUGUUAUUAGGGAAGAACAUAUGUGUAAGUAACUGUGCACAUCUUGACGGUACCUAAUCAGAAAGCCACGGCUAACUACGUG